CCUACGGGAGGCAGCAGUGGGGAAUUUUGGACAAUGGGCGAAAGCCUGAUCCAGCAAUGCCGCGUGAGUGAAGAAGGCCUUCGGGUUGUAAAGCUCUUUUGUCAGGGAAGAAACGGUGAGGGCUAAUAUCUCUUGCUAAUGACGGUACCUGAAGAAUGAGCACCGGCUAACUACGUGCCAGCAGCCGCGGUAAUACGUAGGGUGCAAGCGUUAAUCGGAAUUACUGGGCGUAAAGCGUGCGCAGGCGGUUUUGUAAGUCUGUCGUGAAAUCCCCGGGCUCAACCUGGGAAUUGCGAUGGAGACUGCAAGGCUAGAAUCUGGCAGAGGGGGGUAGAAUUCCACGUGUAGCAGUGAAAUGCGUAGAGAUGUGGAGGAACACCGAUGGCGAAGGCAGCCCCCUGGGUCAAGAUUGACGCUCAUGCACGAAAGCGUGGGGAGCAAACAGGAUUAGAUACCCUGGUAGUCCACGCCCUAAACGAUGUCUACUAGUUGUCGGGUUUUAAUUAACUUGGUAACGCAGCUAACGCGUGAAGUAGACCGCCUGGGGAGUACGGUCGCAAGAUUAAAACUCAAAGUGAGUGAGNGNGAGAGNGCGAGACGACGACGAGGGAGGAGG
RNAcentral lists this ribosomal RNA (616 nucleotides) under uncultured bacterium. RNAcentral's name for it is "bacterial SSU rRNA". It matches the Rfam family "Bacterial small subunit ribosomal RNA", at positions 338 to 944 of the family's 1533-position model. The record is from RNAcentral.